RNAcentral lists this ribosomal RNA (454 nucleotides) under uncultured Prevotella sp. Its description in RNAcentral is "partial 16S ribosomal RNA". It matches the Rfam family "Bacterial small subunit ribosomal RNA", at positions 341 to 792 of the family's 1533-position model. The record is from RNAcentral. Lineage: Bacteria; Pseudomonadati; Bacteroidota; Bacteroidia; Bacteroidales; Prevotellaceae.
ACGGGAGGCAGCAGUGAGGAAUAUUGGUCAAUGGGCGCAAGCCUGAACCAGCCAAGUAGCGUGCAGGAUGACGGCCCUAUGGGUUGUAAACUGCUUUUGUACGGGAAUAAAGUGACCUACGUGUAGGUUUUUGCAUGUACCGUAAGAAUAAGGACCGGCUAAUUCCGUGCCAGCAGCCGCGGUAAUACGGAAGGUCCGGGCGUUAUCCGGAUUUAUUGGGUUUAAAGGGAGCGUAGGCCGUGCUUUAAGCGUGUUGUGAAAUGUAGGCGCCCAACGUCUGCACUGCAGCGCGAACUGGAGCACUUGAGUACGCAGGAAGUAGGCGGAAUUCGUCGUGUAGCGGUGAAAUGCUUAGAUAUCUCGAAGAACUCCGAUUGCGAAGGCAGCUUGCUGGGGCGCAACUGACACUGAGGCUCGAAGGUGCGGGUAUCAAACAGGAUUAGAUACCCUGGUA